GGGCGGCAUGGCGGUGUGCGCUCGCCUCUGCGGCGUGGGCCCGUCGCGCGGAUGCCGGCGCCGCCAGCAGCGCCGGGGCCCGGCCGAGACGGCGGCGGCCGACAGCGAGCCGGACACAGACCCGGAGGAGGAGCGCAUCGAGGCUAGCGCUGCGGUGCUGGCCGGGGUGGGGGGCGGCUUGUGCGCGGGCCCCUCGCCGCCGCCCCCGCGCUGCUCGCUGCUGGAGCUGCCGCCCGAGCUGCUGGUGGAGAUCUUCGCGUCGCUGCCGGGCACCGACCUACCCAGCUUGGCCCAGGUCUGCACGAAGUUCCGGCGCAUCCUCCACACCGACACCAUCUGGAGGAGGCGUUGCCGCGAGGGUUAGAGGAUGCAUUGGGCUCUGUGAAAAUUCAUGAAACUAAGUCACCAGCCUUCAGCAAUCUGAGCAAAGAUAAACUGCCUCAGGAACAGUAUUGAUGGCUUGCAGAGGACUGGCUUAUGACUUCAGGCGGCAUAAACAACAAGCACAAAUGGAUACGUUUUCCAGUGUCCACCCAUCUAGCCAUUGGCGCAGGGAAUCA
Molecule: small RNA, 560 nt
Filed under: Pongo abelii (Sumatran orangutan)
Lineage: Eukaryota; Metazoa; Chordata; Mammalia; Primates; Hominidae
Description: processed transcript
Source: RNAcentral